This is a long non-coding RNA of Coturnix japonica (Japanese quail), 1672 nucleotides long. The record is from Ensembl. NCBI's taxonomy places the organism in Eukaryota, Metazoa, Chordata, Aves, Galliformes, Phasianidae.
GCACAGCACUGCACAGGAUAUUGAUGGUGUUAUGGGGUUGUUAUGGGGUGCUAUGGGUUGUUCUAUGGGGUGCUAUGGGGUUGUUAUAGGGUUGUUAUGGGGUUGUUAUGGGGUUGUUAUGGGGCGCUCUAUGGGGCCGUUCCCAUUACACCCAGUAUAUGGGCACGGUGCUGCACAGGAUGUUGGUGGUGUUAUGGGGUUGUUAUGGGGUGUUAUGGGGCACUCUAUGGGGUGCUCUAUGGGGUGAUGUUGUUAUGGGGUUGUUAUGGGGCGCUCUAUGGGGCUGUCCCAUUACACCCAGUAUAUGGGCACGGUGCUGCACAGGAUGUUGGUGGUGGUGCCCAAAAUGGAGCGAUCAGAGACGGGGGGAGAUGGAACCGACUGCGGGGGGAGAUGGGGGUUAAUAUGGGAUGGAUGGGGGUUAAUAUUAUGGGAUGGAUGGGGGUUAAUAUGGGAUGGAUGGGGGUUAAUAUGGGAUGGAUGGGGGUUAAUAUUAUGGGAUGGAUGGGGGUUAAUAUGGGAUGGAUGGGGGUUAAUAUUAUGGGAUGGAUGGGAUAUUAUGGGAUAAAUGGGAUGGGAUGGGGUUGGGGUAUGGGGUUGGAUGGGAUGGAUGGGAUAAAUGAGAUGGGAUGGGGAUGGGAUGAGAAGGGGGAGGAUAUGGGGUUGGGAUAGGAUGGGAUGAAUGGGAUGGGAUGGGAUGGGAUGGGAUGGGAUGGAUGGGAUAUUAUGGGAUGGGGUGGUAUGGGAUGGGGUUGAUGGGAUGGGAUAUUAUGGGAUGGAAUGGGAUGGAUGGGAUGGGAUGGGGAUGUGAUGGAUGAGAUGAUGUGGGGUUAGGAUAUAGGGUUGGGAUGGGAUGGAUGGGAUGGAGAUGGGAUAUAGGGUUGGGAUGGGAUGGAGAUGGGGAUGGGGUUGGGGUUGGAUGGGAUGGGAUGGGGAUGGGGUUGGGGUGGAUGGGGUUUAAUAUAAUGGGAUGGGAUGGAGAUGUAUGGGAUAUUAUGGGAUGGGAUGGAUGAGAUGGGAUGGGAUGGAUGGAUGGGAUGGUAUGGAUGGGUUGGGAUGGAUGGAGAUGGGAUGGGAUGGAGAUGAAUGGGAUGGGAUGGUGUGGGGUUGGGAUAUGGGGUUGGGAUGGGAUAUGGGAUGGGAUGGGAUGGGGAUGGGAUAUUAUGGGAUGGGAUGGGAUGGGAUGGGAUAGGAUGGGAUAUGGGAUAUGGGAUGGGAUGGGGAUGGGAUGGGAUGGGACACGAUGGGAUGGGAAUGAGAUGGAUGGGGUGGGGUGGGGUGGGGUUGGGAUGGGAUGGGAUGGAUGGGGGUUAAUAUUAUGGGAUGGGAUGGAUGAGAUGGGAUAUUAUGGGAUGUAUGGGCUGAGAUGUAUGGGGUGGGAUGGAAUAGAAUAGGGAUGGGAUGUAUGGGAUGGGAUGGGAUGGGACAUAAUGGGAUGGGAUAUUAUGGGAUGGGAUGGGAUGGGAUGGGAUGGGAUGUGAUGUAUGGGAUGGAUGUGAUAUUAUGUGAUGGAUGGGCUGUGAUAGGUGCUGUGUUGCUGUGUGUCCCGGUCCCGGUUCGGUCCGUCCCGUUUCUCACCCGGCUGUUCUGGAAUCGCUCCGUCACAUCGUCCAGCCCCGGCAGCUCCGCCCCGUCCACGCGGGACACGAGACACGAGCGGCGCCGCCACGAC